Molecule: ribosomal RNA, 408 nt
Filed under: Dokdonia sp. Asnod3C12
Lineage: Bacteria; Pseudomonadati; Bacteroidota; Flavobacteriia; Flavobacteriales; Flavobacteriaceae
Description: bacterial SSU rRNA
Rfam family: Bacterial small subunit ribosomal RNA
Source: RNAcentral
CCAGCCAUGCCGCGUGUAGGAAGACUGCCCUAUGGGUUGUAAACUACUUUUAUAUGGGAAGAAUAAGGUCUACGUGUAGACUGAUGACGGUACCAUAAGAAUAAGCACCGGCUAACUCCGUGCCAGCAGCCGCGGUAAUACGGAGGGUGCAAGCGUUAUCCGGAAUCAUUGGGUUUAAAGGGUCCGUAGGCGGGCAUAUAAGUCAGUGGUGAAAGUCUGUGGCUCAACCAUAGAAUUGCCAUUGAUACUGUAUGUCUUGAAUUAUUGUGAAGUGGUUAGAAUAUGUAGUGUAGCGGUGAAAUGCUUAGAGAUUACAUAGAAUACCGAUUGCGAAGGCAGAUCACUAACAAUAUAUUGACGCUGAUGGACGAAAGCGUAGGUAGCGAACAGGAUUAGAUACCCUGGUAG